RNAcentral lists this ribosomal RNA (254 nucleotides) under uncultured bacterium. RNAcentral's name for it is "partial 16S ribosomal RNA". It matches the Rfam family "Bacterial small subunit ribosomal RNA", at positions 524 to 776 of the family's 1533-position model. The record is from RNAcentral.
UACGGGGGGAGCAAGCGUUGUUCGGAUUACUGGGCGUAAAGGGCGCGUAGGCGGUCGUGACAAGUCACUUGUGAAAUCUCCGGGCUUAACUCGGAACGGUCAAGUGAUACUGGUCGGACUAGAGUACAGAAGGGGCAACUGGAAUUCUCGGUGUAGCGGUGAAAUGCGUAGAUAUCGAGAGGAACACCUGCGGCGAAGGCGGGUUGCUGGGCUGAUACUGACGCUGAGGCGCGAAAGCCAGGGGAGCGAACGGG